UUCUCUGUUUGGAAGAUCCUCUAAUUUCUUUUUCGCCAUAUAAACUCCCGCAGCUAAUGUCAUUCUAAAAACUUCUGCAUGUAAACUAUUGUCUUUGAAGUUUGUAAUUUUCUAAUUCAUCCCACUUCCAUCCUUGAGCUUGUCUUUGAAUUUGCAGUUAUAUUAGCAUGGUAUUCCAGACUUGCACUAAAUAAGGGCACAUAAAAAAGAGAUGUUCAGCAUACUCAUUAUCCUUGAUGUGUAGUCCACACUUCUCAUCCUCCAAGCAUCUUCAUCUGGCUAACCUUCCCUUUGUAAACAGCUUGCUAUAUAGGAUAAGUUGACCAUUUAGGAGGGUAUAUUUUGUUGUAAAUCAGCCUUGUCCAAUUAACCUUCUGGUAAGCUCUUUUUAGCUGAAGAGUUUGCUGAUAGUAAACUUAUCUGAUCUUAGUACAUCCAUUUCUCACCUACCAACUUCCUCAAAGUAUUUGUGAACUUCGAUGAUAACAGAUAAAAAUAUAUGAAAAUGGUCAAUUUGUAGUCCAACGAAAAGAAUCACUCUUUUCGCCUCCAAACAGUUCAUUAAUUUUGGCAAAACUAUGAUACUAUAUUUUGUCCCCAAUCAAAAUUAUGAGUCGGAUGAAUUUCAACAAUUAGCUAGUGAUCCAUCAAGACAUUUGACUAAAAAUUCAACAUGCAGCUCAAAAGACUGAACCAUUCUAAUCUACAUAUUCAUCAGCUAACGAAACAAUCAGGCUCCAAAAGUUAAAGAUAUUUGAAAGUGUUAUCUGAGUUAAAAAUACCAUUUUUUAUAAUCUACAAUAUUUACCACCAAAACAACUUAGGCUCCAAUAAAUUGAAGGAACAACUAACCAGAAAGGCAAAACAACAACCUGAGUAGAACAAUCUGGGAAAGAGAAUAACAAUGUGCAUUCUUUAGGAGCUUAUUUCCGUCCCUGAGUUCUUCUUUGCGGGAGAUUCUAAAAUAGAGCUCAGAUUUUUCAAUCUUUCCUGCUGAAUCUCACUCGGGGACCUGUAAACACUAUCUAUUAUAUUGAAGUUUGGUUCAUUUUUUAAUUUGUGAUGGAUAUGAUCAAGCACAUAAUCCUGCAUCUUCAAAUACACCAUGUCUACAAUACAUUAUGUCACAUAUUUAAAAUUUUACCAACAAAAAUAGAACAAUAUUAACCCUAUCAAUUGAAGGUUUAACGACAUAAUAUGUUCACCAUGAACUUGUGCAGUUAGAAAUAAAAUAUUUAAAUAUUAUUGCUCGUUGUUCUUAUCGAUGAUUCGGUCAUUUACUUCAAAGAAUAUGCAAUUAUUGUCUUGUGCGGGAAAUUAUAUUACUUUUCUUUCCUUUUAAAUUAUCCCAAAAUUAAUCAUAUUAGUCACUAAUAUGUUCUCCUUAAAUAGUUUUGAGAUUUGCAGUAAAAAACAUUCUCGAGUGACUUUUAUGCAUGCCAUAUCAUAAAUUUAUAAAGCUAAGAUUAAAUGGAACAUGUGAAUGAGGGUUAGAACUUAGAAGAUUCACUACCAGCCAAAUGAGAUAUAGUGAAUAAAGUUUUCAAGAAUCAACUUCAAUAUCUUCUGCUUGUCGGUCCUUAUUCACCAAUGAAAAUAUUAAAAUUCCUACAUAAGAGAUCAAUUUAUUUUAAUAAUUUUUAGCGAAUCAAAAUUAAAGACAAUUUAAGCAUAGUAGAUUGCAACUAUCUAAAAAAAACAUACUACACUAAAUGUGUUCCUUGAAACUUAACUUCAUUUACCUCAGCAUGGCUGAUAUCAUAAUAUACUACUUGUAAGGCAUUCUACAAAUGGCUUCCGGACAAUUAGGAUAGAAACCACUCCAUCCAAUAUAAAUUAUAUUCAAAGUUGGGAAAACGAGGUCUGGUUCAAUCAAGGUAUAGCUUAACGGAAUGAAAGAGAAUUAGUGUAUUAAGCAAGUAGGAAAAAGCAGAAAAAGGGACUUCAGACGUUGUUCUCAAGUCUAGUUAACGAAAGCCCCAAGUCACCAAUAACAUUGAGCAAAACUCUUUCCUGAAGCAACUCACUCCAAAUGAACAAAUUGUCAGUCAUAUCAUCAAACAAUUAGGGUGCAUAUUCCACUUCAAUAGAUUUAACUGUUGGAUAGUGAUUUAACUUUCAACAUUCAAUUACUCCAGAUUCAAACUUCAUUAACCCAUGGAACUGAAUCUAAAAUCAAAACUUUACAAAUCUAUUCGAACAAACGUAGAAAUCAAAGAAAAAUUGAAGCUCAAAAGAAAAUCAACGAAAAAUAGAGAGACAACAAGAAUUACCUCAAAAUUGCAGUAAUACUCGGAGACGAUUUGAAUAUGAAAAGCCAAUACUUAUGGGAGAUGAAAAACUUCAUAAAAAUAUAGUUCUUGGAGAAUCGGGAAGUUUUCCAAUUUUUCGUCUGGGAAACUCUGCAAGAUGAAGAACCUAUAGUGGAUGAGAGAAUGUGAUGAAGUAUCGAUGGAUGACAACACAAGAAAAUGGUGG
Molecule: long non-coding RNA, 2478 nt
Filed under: Solanum tuberosum (potato)
Lineage: Eukaryota; Viridiplantae; Streptophyta; Magnoliopsida; Solanales; Solanaceae
Description: long non-coding RNA (STUB_LNC004265)
Source: RNAcentral